This 344-nucleotide unclassified non-coding RNA is filed under the name Hevea brasiliensis (rubber tree). Lineage: Eukaryota; Viridiplantae; Streptophyta; Magnoliopsida; Malpighiales; Euphorbiaceae. The record is from RNAcentral.
GCAACUUGAUUCCAGAAUAUUUUACAAAUCCAUGUUCCUUGUUGCAAUCGAUAGGUGUCUUCCUUACACACCCUUGUGACCAAUCUCCCGUUUGCCAAUUUUGUUGAUAUUUAGGUUCAAACUUGUCCAAACAUCCACAAACAGGAGAACUAUCUAUGACACAGCUUCCAUAGGCACCACAUAAGCUAUAUGUAUCACAAGUAUCCAGAGGAAUAUUGAGGUAAAGAUGCCAACUCUUUGUCCUAUCCACCCACGUCAAACGUUGUAUAUAACCAUUGUUAGUCAGGACUAGCCUUGUUAACACCGAGUUGUUAAUGAGAGAAAAACUAUAGUAAACCUCCUCU